Molecule: non-coding RNA, 21 nt
Filed under: Arabidopsis thaliana (thale cress)
Lineage: Eukaryota; Viridiplantae; Streptophyta; Magnoliopsida; Brassicales; Brassicaceae
Source: RNAcentral
GAAUGAGAACCGUUGUACCUG